RNAcentral lists this transfer RNA (69 nucleotides) under Marmota monax (woodchuck). RNAcentral describes it as "tRNA.Ala". The record is from RNAcentral. Lineage: Eukaryota; Metazoa; Chordata; Mammalia; Rodentia; Sciuridae.
GGUUUGUAAGCUCAGUGAUAGAGCACUUGCCUAGCAUAUGCAAGGCCCUGGGUUUGAUCCUCAGCACCA